AUUGAACGCUGGCGGCAUGCUUUACACAUGCAAGUCGAGCGGCAGCGCGGGGGCAACCCUGGCGGCGAGCGGCGGACGGGUGAGUAAUGCAUCGGAACGUAUCCCGUAGUGGGGGACAACCCAGCGAAAGCUGGGCUAAUACCGCAUAUGCUCUACGGAGGAAAGUGGGGACCCGCAAGGGCCUCACGCUAUGGGAGCGGCCGAUGUCCGAUUACCUAGUUGGUGGGGUAAAGGCCUACCAAGGCGACGAUCGGUAGCUGGUCUGAGAGGAUGAUCAGCCACACUGGGACUGAGACACGGCCCAGACUCCUACGGGAGGCAGCAGUGGGGAAUUUUGGACAAAUGGGGGGCAACCCUGAUCCAGCCAUGCCGCGUGC
This 377-nucleotide ribosomal RNA is filed under the name uncultured bacterium. Its description in RNAcentral is "bacterial SSU rRNA". It matches the Rfam family "Bacterial small subunit ribosomal RNA", at positions 28 to 404 of the family's 1533-position model. The record is from RNAcentral.